AGCUGUGGAUAGGGGUGAAAGGCUAAACAAAUCCGGAAAUAGCUGGUUCUCCCCGAAAACUAUUUAGGUAGUGCGUCUUAUAUCACUGACGGGGGUAAAGCACUGUUAUGGCUAGGGGGGUCAUCGCGACUUACCAAACCAUGGCAAACUCUGAAUACCGUCAAGUGCGAGUAAGGCAGACAGACAGUGGGUGCUAACGUCCAUUGUCAAGAGGGAAACAACCCAGACCGCCAGCUAAGGUCCCCAAGACACAGUUAAGUGGGAAACGAAGUGGGAAGGCAUAGACAGCUAGGAGGUUGGCUUAGAAGCAGCCACCCUUUAAAGAAAGCGUAAUAGCUCACUAGUCGAGUCGUCCUGCGCGGAAGAUGUAACGGGGCUCAAACUGUGCACCGAAGCUGCGGAUAUCGAAAGAUAUUGGUAGGGGAGCGUUCUGUAGGUCUGUGAAGGUGUCUUGUAAAGGAUGCUGGAGAUAUCAGAAGUG
RNAcentral lists this ribosomal RNA (481 nucleotides) under uncultured bacterium. Its description in RNAcentral is "bacterial LSU rRNA". It matches the Rfam family "Bacterial large subunit ribosomal RNA", at positions 807 to 1290 of the family's 2925-position model. The record is from RNAcentral.